This 600-nucleotide ribosomal RNA is filed under the name Triticum aestivum (bread wheat). RNAcentral describes it as "partial small subunit ribosomal RNA". Lineage: Eukaryota; Viridiplantae; Streptophyta; Magnoliopsida; Poales; Poaceae. The record is from RNAcentral.
AUGUCCUGUUAUCCAGGACCUCGUUUAAAAAAACACCAUCCGGGAGAUUUACCAGGACUCACUAGAAAAACACCAAAGUCCGGAAGUAACUUUAAAAAGAAAGUCAAUUCUGGGAAAAAGGAGCAAUAUCAUACUUGUCUUCAAGAAAAACUGAAAUUGCAUUUUCAUUAUGGUCCGAGAGAACGACAAUUACCUAUAUAUGUACAUAUCACUGGAAAAGCGAAAAGGUUAACCGGCCAGGUUUUACUUCAAUUACUUGAAAUGCAUUUGGAUAAUAUCCCUUUUUUGGUUAUGGCUGCAACCAUUCCUGGGGCCCACCAAUUAGUCAACCAUAGACAUAUUUUAGUCAAUGGUUGUAUAGCCAAUAUUCCAUGUUUUCGUUGCAAACUCCGAGAUAUUAUUACUACGAAAGAUAACCAAAGAUCAAAAGGUCUGGUUCAAAAUUACAUUGCUUCAUUGAACCCAGGGAAAUUUCCAAAGCAUUUCUCGAUUAGCACGAAUGAAUAUGAAUGACUAGAAAAAAAAUCCCUAGAUAGGAAGUGGGUCAGUCUCAAAAUAAAUGAGUUGUUAGUUGUAGAAUAUCACUCUCAUCAGAGUUGA